Long non-coding RNA from Carya illinoinensis, 1481 nucleotides. RefSeq lists it as uncharacterized. NCBI's taxonomy places the organism in Eukaryota, Viridiplantae, Streptophyta, Magnoliopsida, Fagales, Juglandaceae. The record is from RefSeq and is a predicted model, not a curated record. The transcript has 3 exons.
CCACGUGAAAAACAAAACGACGUCAUUUUCACAUCACUUAAUUCCCUCCACACUUUUCUUCAUUUCUCCCGUUCUCAUUUCUCUCUCCCCUUUCAAGCUUUCCUUCUUUUCCCCCUUUCCCGAUUCAUUUCCUUUUGUUUCCCAAACCUUCGUCUUCGAUUCUUUCCCCUCAUUCCAAACCUCGUACGAUUAACAGACUCCAUCUUUCACCAUCAAAAUCGACCCCCCACCUUCCUCUCUGAAAUGGACCCACGAAUCGGAUGACGCAGUCCCCCCAUUUCAAGCACAAUUCCCCCCUUCGAAGCUGAAAUCUCAGUCUUUCACCUUCAUCUACAUUCAAGCACGAUUCCUCCCAUUUUCCAUCUUUAAACUUGGCAGAUCUAUGAUUUUUACACCAUUACCACGAAAGCCCCAUCUUCUCACUCGAAAGCGACGCAUGAAACCCACGCCGUCAAUACCCUAACCAAGGUCUUCCUCAAGCAUGAUUCCCCCAUUUUCAUCUUUAAACUUGACAGAUCUAUGGUUUUUACACCAUUCCCACGAAAACCCCAGCAUCCCACUCGAAAUCAACGCCUGAAACCCAUGUCGUCGAAACCCUAACCCUAACCCGUACCCAACCCUGUGGUUUAAUCCUAACUGGUGUAACCCUAACCCUAACCACCAUGUACAAAGGAGGUUAGUUAGCUUUUUUUCGUCUUUGUUUUGGUUUUACUUUCAGCAUACAUUUUAUAUAUAAAUUAUACUAGAUGUUUUUGAUGGAUUAGAGAAUUAAACAUACAUCCAGAUUAUGAAAAUACAAGCUUUUCAAAUGUGAUUUGUGUUGAUGUGCUUUCGUUGUCAGUAACUAAUCCAUAUAUGUACAAGUGAUCACAACUGCGUGCUUGUGUUGAUUGCUUCGUGUGAGGGAAUGCUUAGGGGAAACUUUAUGUGUUGGGGAUGAAAUUAGCGUUCAUGAUUGUGUUCAAAUCAAGAGGUAUCCAAACAUGUGCACGUGCCAAAUCAAGAGGUUGUAGCUCCUGACAUUGAUUGUGUUUCAGACAGCCAGUAAUGUUUGUCUCUAAAAGUAUUACCCUUUUGAAAAAUUUUCAAGUGGCAGAUAAUAAUGAAGACUGCAAAUGCCAACUUCGAUAUAGAUACAAUGAACUUUUAAGGAAGGAGAAAGAGCUCAAGAAGGAAAAAGAGCUCGAGAAAAAACUCGACAAUAUCAAGAAGAGGGAGAUUUCCAUAAGGCGUUCACGCUCACUACUCAAGCUUUAUUGGGCUUUUAUAGUUGUUGUGUCAUGUUACUCAGUAGCAUUAAGUGAUUUUGGAACUUGGUAUAUGUUUGGUAUUUGACAGUAUGUAAGUUAUUAUUAAUAUUAUGUACGUUAGCACUUUCUAGGUUACUGUAAAUUCAGAAGUAAUCUGCAAUUGAGUUAGUAUACUUUCUAUGUUGUUGCUAUAAAUUUUGAGUAAUCUGGGAUGAAUCAUGAGUUAGUAAA